ACAACUUUCAACAACGGAUCUCUUGGUUCUCGCAUCGAUGAAGAACACAGCGAAAUGUGAUAAGUAAUGUGAAUUGCAUAAUUCAGUGAAUCAUCGAAUCUUUGAAUGCAUCUUGCACUCCUUGGUAUUCCGAGGAGUAUGCCUGUUUGAGUGUCAUAAAA
Molecule: ribosomal RNA, 161 nt
Filed under: Amanita sp. 'albemarlensis'
Lineage: Eukaryota; Fungi; Basidiomycota; Agaricomycetes; Agaricales; Amanitaceae
Description: 5.8S ribosomal RNA
Rfam family: 5.8S ribosomal RNA
About the family: 5.8S ribosomal RNA (5.8S rRNA) is a component of the large subunit of the eukaryotic ribosome. It is transcribed by RNA polymerase I as part of the 45S precursor that also contains 18S and 28S rRNA.
Source: RNAcentral